This 253-nucleotide ribosomal RNA is filed under the name uncultured bacterium. RNAcentral describes it as "partial 16S ribosomal RNA". It matches the Rfam family "Bacterial small subunit ribosomal RNA", at positions 524 to 776 of the family's 1533-position model. The record is from RNAcentral.
UACGGAGGAUCCAAGCGUUAUCCGGAUUUAUUGGGUUUAAAGGGUGCGUAGGCGGCUUUUUAAGUCAGGGGUGAAAGACGGUGGCUCAACCAUCGCAGUGCCUUUGAUACUGAAGAGCUUGAAUACACUAGAGGUAGGCGGAAUGUGGCAAGUAGCGGUGAAAUGCAUAGAUAUGCCACAGAACACCGAUUGCGAAGGCAGCUUACUAUGGUGUGAUUGACGCUGAGGCACGAAAGCGUGGGGAGCAAACAGG